UACGGAGGAUGCAAGCGUUAUCCGGAAUGAUUGGGCGUAAAGCGUCCGCAGGUGGCUGUGUAAGUCUGCCGUCAAAGAGCGAAGCUCAACUUCGUAAAGGCAGUGGAAACUACACGGCUAGAGUGCGUUCGGGGCAGAGGGAAUUCCUGGUGUAGCGGUGAAAUGCGUAGAGAUCAGGAAGAACACCGGUGGCGAAGGCGCUCUGCUAGGCCGCAACUGACACUGAGGGACGAAAGCUAGGGGAGCGAAUGGG
This 253-nucleotide ribosomal RNA is filed under the name uncultured bacterium. RNAcentral describes it as "partial 16S ribosomal RNA". It matches the Rfam family "Bacterial small subunit ribosomal RNA", at positions 524 to 776 of the family's 1533-position model. The record is from RNAcentral.